RNAcentral lists this ribosomal RNA (275 nucleotides) under uncultured Glaciecola sp. RNAcentral's name for it is "partial 16S ribosomal RNA". It matches the Rfam family "Bacterial small subunit ribosomal RNA", at positions 8 to 290 of the family's 1533-position model. The record is from RNAcentral. Lineage: Bacteria; Pseudomonadati; Pseudomonadota; Gammaproteobacteria; Alteromonadales; Alteromonadaceae.
AGAGUUUGAUCCUGGCUCAGAUUGAACGCUGGCGGCAGGCCUAACACAUGCAAGUCGAACGGUAACAUGAACUAGCUUGCUAGUUUGAUGACGAGUGGCGGACGGGUGAGUAAUGCUUGGGAAUUUGCCUUUAGGUGGGGGACAACAGUUGGAAACGACUGCUAAUACCGCAUAAUAGCUACGGCUUAAGAGGGCUUCGGCUCUCGCCUUUAGAGAGCCCAGUGGGAUAGGUAGUUGGUGAGGUAAGGCUCACCAAGCCCACGAUCCCUAGCUGG